RNAcentral lists this ribosomal RNA (305 nucleotides) under uncultured bacterium. RNAcentral's name for it is "bacterial SSU rRNA". It matches the Rfam family "Bacterial small subunit ribosomal RNA", at positions 337 to 659 of the family's 1533-position model. The record is from RNAcentral.
CCCUACGGGAGGCAGCAGUGGGGAAUAUUGCACAAUGGGGGAAACCCUGAUGCAGCAACGCCGCGUGAGUGAAGAAGUAUUUCGGUAUGUAAAGCUCUAUCAGCAGGGAAGAGAAUGACGGUACCUGACUAAGAAGCCCCGGCUAACUACGUGCCAGCAGCCGCGGUAAUACGUAGGGGGCAAGCGUUAUCCGGAAUUACUGGGUGUAAAGGGAGCGUAGGCGGGACGGCAAGUCAGAUGUGAAAACUGAGGGCUCAACCUUCAGACUGCAUUUGAAACUGCUGUUCUUGAGUGAAGUAGAGGUA